Molecule: unclassified non-coding RNA, 1754 nt
Filed under: Diabrotica virgifera virgifera (western corn rootworm)
Lineage: Eukaryota; Metazoa; Arthropoda; Insecta; Coleoptera; Chrysomelidae
Description: wD repeat domain phosphoinositide-interacting protein 2
Source: RNAcentral
AAAUUGUGGCGUGCGCAGAGAGAUCAUUACAUCAGCUGUUCAAUACAUUAUGGUAGUUGUUUGUGUUUAGUAAUUGCAAGGUCAGUCUUUGUGCGAGUAUAAAAUUGUUUUGAAGUUUUUGGUACUUGGAAGUGUACAGAUUUUAAUAAAAAUAUCUUCGUCGAAUUUCACGCAGUUUCUACAAAAGUGUUUUCCUUCUUCGGACUCAUGAAUAGCACAGGUUCUUCUGACUCAAAUGGAUCCAAAAAUUAUUUUGUAAACUUCAACCAGGAUAGCACAUCUUUAGCAGUGGGUAGCAGAACAGGGUAUCGUCUGUAUUCUCUUAGCGGUGUCGACACACUCGAACAAAUAUAUAGCAAUGGCACCGAGGACACGUGCCUUGUGGAAAGGCUGUUCAGCAGUAGUUUGGUCGCGGUGGUCUCUCUGGCUGCCCCCCGAAAGCUGAAGGUGUGCCAUUUCAAGAAAGGAACGGAAAUUUGUAAUUAUUCCUAUUCCAACACUAUUUUGGCCGUCAAACUUAACAGAGCUCGACUUGUAGUAUGUCUCGAAGAGAGUUUGUAUAUCCAUAACAUUAGAGAUAUGAAAGUUCUUCAUACGAUUAGGGACACACCUCCAAAUCCUUUAGGUCUUUGUGCUUUAAGUAUAACCUCUGAUAACUGUUUCAUAGCAUAUCCGGGAUCUUCGAUUAUUGGUGAAGUACAGAUUUUCGAUGCCAUUAAUCUGCACGCGAAAACUAUGAUCCACGCGCACGACAGCCCAUUAGCUGCGUUGGCGUUCAGCCCGAAUGGUACCCGUAUAGCUACGGCGUCAGAGAAAGGAACUGUGAUCCGAGUGUUUUCUGUAAUAGACGCUUCAAAAUUGUACGAGUUCAGGAGAGGAGUGAAACGCUGCGUUGCCAUAUCGUGUAUAGCGUUCAGUUUGUGCGGCCAAUUCUUGAGCUGUAGCAGUAAUACGGAAACUGUACAUAUAUUUAAAUUAGAGGAACCAAAGGAUAGUCCUAGAAGGAGCGUAGAAGAAAGCAGUUGGAUGGGAUAUUUGACGACUUACCUUCCCACACAAGUGACGGACGUUUUUACCCAAGGUAGAGCUUUUGCCACGGCGCACUUGCCUUUCUACGGUGUCAAGAAUGUGAUCUCGAUAGCAACAAUCCAGCAGCAGCUGAGAUUGCUAGUAGCGACGGAAGACGGAACUCUGUACGUGUACAACAUCGAUCCCAGCGAAGGAGGCGACCUGAUUCUGUUCAAAGAGCACCGAUUAGACGGUGCCCCGGAGAACCCAGGCAAAUCCUCUGACAAAACGGACAUAGGAAAGACCUCGGCGCCCCAAAACAUCGAAGGAGGUUGUUGAAAAAACUAAAAUGCUGUAUUGAUGGCGGUAUUUACGAUUGCAUGUGCAAUUUGACAAGUUGUUGAUAUAUUGCUGCUGAAACCACACUGGUAGUCACCGAGGACACUGAGCUCCAGCUUCUGUGUGGUGUUACAUUACCCUCCUCAAGGUCCCUCAUUUUGAUAAUCUGUUGUAGAUUAGACAUAGUAGAACAACUCAUCACUCCUUGGACUCCUUUACUUGCUAACCGAAAGGUCAUGAUCACUUUAUAGCGUCUCUUCGACAUCAACACAGAGUCAGAAAAGUUCCGGGAGAUGGCAGCAGCUACGGAAUCGCCGCCCAAAGGCGCGUUUCAGUUCACCGACGACCAGGAAUACCCCCCGCUAACCCAGAACUCAGAUUGAGACAUACUCAUCUACGUCGCCGGA